RNAcentral lists this ribosomal RNA (113 nucleotides) under Petromyzon marinus (sea lamprey). Lineage: Eukaryota; Metazoa; Chordata; Hyperoartia; Petromyzontiformes; Petromyzontidae. The record is from RNAcentral.
ACCUGCCAUAGUAAGAAUGCACCAGAUCUUGUCAGAUCUCAGAAGCUAAGCAGGUUUGAGCUUUGGUAGUGCUUGGAUGGGGAACUACCAUGCACACCAGGUUGUCAUAGGUG